Long non-coding RNA from Lycium barbarum (goji berry), 531 nucleotides. RefSeq lists it as uncharacterized. The transcript is spliced from 2 exons. The record is from RefSeq and is a predicted model, not a curated record. NCBI's taxonomy places the organism in Eukaryota, Viridiplantae, Streptophyta, Magnoliopsida, Solanales, Solanaceae.
AAAUAAGAGAACCCCAGAUCAAGAAACACAAUUAAAAAGACUCUUAAGUAAUGAAAAACUGAAUCUUUUUGAGCUUCAAGAGAACCCCAGAUCAAGAAACACAAGUAUAAAGACUCUAAGUAAUGAAAAAAUGAUUAUUUUUUUUUAACUUCAAGAGAACCCCAGAUCAAGAAACACAAGUAUAUAAAGGCUUUAGGUAGUGAAAAAUUGAAUAUUUUUUGUUAAAAAGAGACAGAGAUUUGAGUGAGCUUGAUUUGAUGAUGAUUGAAUUAAAGAACAAAGAGAAUUAAAAUGAAAAGGAGAAAAAGAAAGAGUAGAGAUGAAAAAAUAGUAUUAGCUCGAAUCUCCAUAAACAUAACAUUCAUCAUCUGUUUCUUCUUCAACAACCACAAACAUUUCUCUCUCCUUUCCAUUUUUCCCGGCAUUGCUUUUGCUUCUUUCAUUUUUCAACUUAACAUUAAAUAAUAAUUCAUCUUUACAUUACAUACAUAUAAUUUGAACCCCUUUUGCUUCUUCUCCUUCUUCUUCUUA